GCCCCUGUAGCUCAGUAGGAUAGAGCGACAGAUUCCUAAUCUGUGGGCCGCGUGU
This 55-nucleotide transfer RNA is filed under the name Smithella sp. SCADC. It matches the Rfam family "tRNA", at positions 1 to 52 of the family's 71-position model. From Rfam's summary of the family: Transfer RNA (tRNA) molecules are approximately 80 nucleotides in length. Their secondary structure includes four short double-helical elements and three loops (D, anti-codon, and T loops). The record is from Rfam by way of RNAcentral. Lineage: Bacteria; Pseudomonadati; Thermodesulfobacteriota; Syntrophia; Syntrophales; Smithellaceae.